Molecule: unclassified non-coding RNA, 325 nt
Filed under: Auricularia sp.
Lineage: Eukaryota; Fungi; Basidiomycota; Agaricomycetes; Auriculariales; Auriculariaceae
Description: partial contains 5.8S ribosomal RNA, internal transcribed spacer 2, and large subunit ribosomal RNA
Rfam family: 5.8S ribosomal RNA (bases 1-71)
Source: RNAcentral
GUGAGUCAUCGAAUCUUUGAACGCACCUUGCGCUCCUUGGUAUUCCGAGGAGCAUGCCUGUUUGAGUGUCACGUGAAACCCUCACCCCUGCGAUGUCAAAGUCGUGGACGGUGGAUUUGGACGCUGCCGUUGUUGGCUCGUCUCGAAAUGCAUUAGCCGUGCGCGUCGCGCCAGCGCCUCUUGGUGUGAUAAUUAUCUACGCCGUUCAGAGUGCCAGUGCCCAAGACUGUGGCUCAUAGCCGUCUUCGGACAAUUCACUUUAACGCUCUGGCCUCAAAUCAGGUAGGACUACCCGCUGAACUUAAGCAUAUCAAUAAGCGGAGGA